CCAUUGCAACUGUCUCAACUCCACAAGAGCUGGUUUCUUAUAUAUCCAAGAAAUAUGUGUGCGACAGUCUACUAGGGAGCGUGGCAACAGGUAGUGGUGACGCAACCCAGUGACCGGUUGGACCACGCUCCACCACCACCCUCACGUAGCUGCAUGAGGGACUUGAUGUGGGAGGCAGGGAGGUUGAGCGGGAGGAUCUGGGCGGCUGGCGACCACGUAUAACCGCAAUCUUGUCGGUGUCGAUGACCUGCGUCACCGCCUCUCCAAGCACCCUCAUGCUCGGGCCUCCCCGCUGCCCAGGCCAACAACCACUAGCUGCAGGACAACCCAUGGCUGCUGCAUGUCUUCAUCGAUCUGGUUCUGCAUAGGUUGGAGAGAUGGAGAUGGAUCAAAGGCCGAGUGGACAACCCCACAGUUACUCCUUUGCUGAUCUCUCAGCUAACCUAAUCUCACCAUUUGGACCACCGUGUCAUUUUUAGUGUAUAGAGGUAGUUCACCUUUUCCACAUAUAUAUGAUCUAUCAAAAAACCCGUUACGCGUGAUACAUAUACCACUUGGAGUAGUU
Non-coding RNA from Lolium perenne, 565 nucleotides. The record is from RefSeq and is a predicted model, not a curated record. Lineage: Eukaryota; Viridiplantae; Streptophyta; Magnoliopsida; Poales; Poaceae.